Molecule: regulatory RNA element, 113 nt
Organism: Salmonella enterica subsp. arizonae
Lineage: Bacteria; Pseudomonadati; Pseudomonadota; Gammaproteobacteria; Enterobacterales; Enterobacteriaceae
Rfam family: Magnesium riboswitch aptamer (Magnesium responsive RNA element)
About the family: The Magnesium sensor RNA element is a cis-regulatory element that regulates the expression of the magnesium transporter protein MgtA.
Source: Rfam
CUUACCGGAGGCGAUAUGGACCCUGAACCCACCCCUCUCCCGCGAUGGAGAGUUUUCCUUUUCCGGUAAGUCUGCCUUUGCUGUCUUACCGGUUUGUAAGACAGUGACACGAU